UACGUAGGGUGCGAGCGUUGUCCGGAAUUAUUGGGCGUAAAGAGCUUGUAGGCGGUUUGUCGCGUCUGCUGUGAAAAUCCGGGGCUCAACCCGGGACUUGCAGUGGGUACGGGCAGACUAGAGUGUGGUAGGGGAGACUGGAAUUCCUGGUGUAGCGGUGGAAUGCGCAGAUAUCAGGAGGAACACCGAAGGCGAAGGCAGGUCGCUGGGCCACUACUGACGCUGAGAAGCGAAAGCGUGGGGAGCGAACAGG
This 253-nucleotide ribosomal RNA is filed under the name uncultured bacterium. Its description in RNAcentral is "partial 16S ribosomal RNA". It matches the Rfam family "Bacterial small subunit ribosomal RNA", at positions 524 to 776 of the family's 1533-position model. The record is from RNAcentral.